RNAcentral lists this ribosomal RNA (550 nucleotides) under uncultured Achromobacter sp. Its description in RNAcentral is "bacterial SSU rRNA". It matches the Rfam family "Bacterial small subunit ribosomal RNA", at positions 77 to 623 of the family's 1533-position model. The record is from RNAcentral. Lineage: Bacteria; Pseudomonadati; Pseudomonadota; Betaproteobacteria; Burkholderiales; Alcaligenaceae.
ACUUCGGUCUGGUGGCGAGUGGCGAACGGGUGAGUAAUGUAUCGGAACGUGCCCAGUAGCGGGGGAUAACUACGCGAAAGCGUAGCUAAUACCGCAUACGCCCUACGGGGGAAAGCAGGGGAUCGCAAGACCUUGCACUAUUGGAGCGGCCGAUAUCGGAUUAGCUAGUUGGUGGGGUAACGGCUCACCAAGGCGACGAUCCGUAGCUGGUUUGAGAGGACGACCAGCCACACUGGGACUGAGACACGGCCCAGACUCCUACGGGAGGCAGCAGUGGGGAAUUUUGGACAAUGGGGGAAACCCUGAUCCAGCCAUCCCGCGUGUGCGAUGAAGGCCUUCGGGUUGUAAAGCACUUUUGGCAGGAAAGAAACGUCGUGGGUUAAUACCCCGCGAAACUAACGGUACCUGCAGAAUAAGCACCGGCUAACUACGUGCCAGCAGCCGCGGUAAUACGUAGGGUGCAAGCGUUAAUCGGAAUUACUGGGCGUAAAGCGUGCGCAGGCGGUUCGGAAAGAAAGAUGUGAAAUCCCAGAGCUUAACUUUGGAACUG